AGCAGCCGCGGUAAUUCCAGCUCCAAUAGCGUAUAUUAAAGUUGUUGCAGUUAAAAGCUCGUAGUUGAAUUUCGGGAUCAAUAUUUCGGUCAUGCCGUUGGUAUGCACUGUUAUCAUUGAUUUCUCACCUUCUAAAGAACCGUAAUGCCAUUAAUUUGGUGUUACGGGGAAUUAGGACUGUUACCUUGAAAAAUUAGAGUGUUUAAAGCAGGCUCACGCUUGAAUACAUUAGCAUGGAAUAAUGAAAUAGGACAUCCGAUUCUAUUUUGUUGGUUUCUAGGAUCGAUGUAAUGAUUAAUAGGGAUAGUUGGGGGCAUUAGUAUUCAAUUGUCAGAGGUGAAAUUCUUGGAUUUAUUGAAGACUAACUACUGCGAAAGCAUUUGCCAAGGAUGUUUUCAUUAAUCAGGAACGAAAGUUAGGGGAUCGAAGACGACCAGAUACCGUCGUAGUCUUAACCAUAAACUAUGCCGACUAGGGAUCGGAUGAUGUUAAUUUUUAAUGUACUCA
Molecule: ribosomal RNA, 507 nt
Filed under: uncultured Glomeraceae
Lineage: Eukaryota; Fungi; Glomeromycota; Glomeromycetes; Glomerales; Glomeraceae
Description: SSU rRNA
Rfam family: Eukaryotic small subunit ribosomal RNA
Source: RNAcentral